This 72-nucleotide unclassified non-coding RNA is filed under the name Desulfocicer vacuolatum DSM 3385. Lineage: Bacteria; Pseudomonadati; Thermodesulfobacteriota; Desulfobacteria; Desulfobacterales; Desulfobacteraceae. The record is from RNAcentral.
AGGAGCUGUAUGAGGUAAUACCUCACGUACGGAUCUGUACGAGGGCCGGAUAACCGGCAUUCCUACCGUGAC